Molecule: non-coding RNA, 93 nt
Filed under: Cutibacterium avidum
Lineage: Bacteria; Bacillati; Actinomycetota; Actinomycetes; Propionibacteriales; Propionibacteriaceae
Description: TPP riboswitch (THI element)
Rfam family: TPP riboswitch aptamer (THI element)
About the family: Vitamin B(1) in its active form thiamin pyrophosphate (TPP) is an essential coenzyme that is synthesised by coupling of pyrimidine and thiazole moieties in bacteria.
Source: RNAcentral
AACGCGGGAGCCCACCACAAGGGCUGAGAGGGUGCCGAGAUGGCACCGACCGCCUGAACCUGUCCGGGUAAUGCCGGCGAAGGGAGUGGUUGA